Molecule: ribosomal RNA, 523 nt
Filed under: Colletotrichum acutatum
Lineage: Eukaryota; Fungi; Ascomycota; Sordariomycetes; Glomerellales; Glomerellaceae
Description: eukaryotic LSU rRNA
Rfam family: 5.8S ribosomal RNA (bases 203-356)
Source: RNAcentral
GAACCAGCGGAGGGAUCAUUACUGAGUUACCGCUCUAUAACCCUUUGUGAACAUACCUAACCGUUGCUUCGGCGGGCAGGGGAAGCCUCUGGCGGGCCUCCCCUCCCGGCGCCGGCCCCACCACGGGGACGGGGCGCCCGCCGGAGGAAACCAAACUCUAUUUACACGACGUCUCUUCUGAGUGGCACAAGCAAAUAAUUAAAACUUUUAACAACGGAUCUCUUGGUUCUGGCAUCGAUGAAGAACGCAGCGAAAUGCGAUAAGUAAUGUGAAUUGCAGAAUUCAGUGAAUCAUCGAAUCUUUGAACGCACAUUGCGCUCGCCAGCAUUCUGGCGAGCAUGCCUGUUCGAGCGUCAUUUCAACCCUCAAGCACCGCUUGGUUUUGGGGCCCCACGGCACACGUGGGCCCUUAAAGGUAGUGGCGGACCCUCCCGGAGCCUCCUUUGCGUAGUAACUAACGUCUCGCACUGGGAUUCGGAGGGACUCUUGCCGUAAAACCCCCCAAUUUUUUACAGGUUGACCU